UCCGUAGGUGAACCUGCGGAAGGAUCAUUAUCGUGGGGCUUCGGCCCCGUCGAGAUAGCACCCUUGCCCUUAUGAGUACCUUGGUUUCCUCCCCCGACCAUCGGGGAGUGGGAUGACCUCGUUCGUUUCCCCGGAAGGCAACCAUGCCCCCGGGGACCAGAAGAAACACGCUGCAAUCACCUGUAACCGUCUGAUAAAGCAAGCAAAAGUCAAAACUUUCAACAACGGAUCUCUUGGUUCUGGCAUCGAUGAAGAACGCAGCGAAAUGCGAUAAGUAGUGUGAAUUGCAGAAUUCAGUGAAUCAUCGAAUCUUUGAACGCACAUUGCGCCCUUUGGUAUUCCUUAGGGCAUGCCUGUCCGAGCGUCAUCUAACCCUUCAAGCCCCGCUUGGUGUUGGGUGCCUGUCCCGCCCCCGCGCGUGGACUCACCUCAAAUCCAUUGGCGGCCCCGCGUCGGCCACGAGCGCAGCAGAAACGCGAACUCGUGGGCCCGUCCGGGCGGUUCCCAGAAGCUACACCCACCAUGUUUGACCUCGGAUCAGGUAGGGAUACCCGCUGAACUUAAGCAUAUCAAUAAGCGGAGGGAAGUCGGACUGGCCAAGGGGCACACCAGGGGGGGGGGAUA
RNAcentral lists this ribosomal RNA (624 nucleotides) under uncultured fungus. RNAcentral's name for it is "eukaryotic LSU rRNA". The stretch from base 214 to 367 matches the Rfam family "5.8S ribosomal RNA". Lineage: Eukaryota; Fungi. The record is from RNAcentral.